This 78-nucleotide transfer RNA is filed under the name Candidatus Bathyarchaeota archaeon. Its description in RNAcentral is "tRNA-Pro". It matches the Rfam family "tRNA". Rfam says of the family: Transfer RNA (tRNA) molecules are approximately 80 nucleotides in length. Their secondary structure includes four short double-helical elements and three loops (D, anti-codon, and T loops). Lineage: Archaea; Thermoproteati; Candidatus Bathyarchaeota. The record is from RNAcentral. RNAcentral also lists the same sequence under 1 other name.
GGGGCUGUGGGCUAGCUUGGUCUAGGCUACGGGCUUCGGGCGCCCGUGACCCAGGUUCAAAUCCUGGCAGCCCCACCA